Molecule: ribosomal RNA, 497 nt
Filed under: uncultured bacterium
Lineage: Bacteria
Description: partial 16S ribosomal RNA
Rfam family: Bacterial small subunit ribosomal RNA
Source: RNAcentral
GAUGAACGCUGGCGGCGUGCCUAAUACAUGCAAGUCGAGCGAACGGACGAGAAGCUUGCUUCUCUGAUGUUAGCGGCGGACGGGUGAGUAACACGUGGAUAACCUACCUAUAAGACUGGGAUAACUUCGGGAAACCGGAGCUAAUACCGGAUAAUAUUUUGAACCGCAUGGUUCAAAAGUGAAAGACGGUCUUGCUGUCACUUAUAGAUGGAUCCGCGCUGCAUUAGCUAGUUGGUAAGGUGACGGCUUACCAAGGCAACGAUACAUAGCCGACCUGAGAGGGUGAUCGGCCACACUGGAACUGAGACACGGUCCAGACUCCUACGGGAGGCAGCAGUAGGGAAUCUUCCGCAAUGGGCGAAAGCCUGACGGAGCAACGCCGCGUGAGUGAUGAAGGUCUUCGGAUCGUAAAACUCUGUUAUUAGGGAAGAACAUAUGUGUAAGUAACUGUGCACAUCUUGACGGUACCUAAUCAGAAAGCCACGGCUAACUACGUG